This 1326-nucleotide long non-coding RNA is filed under the name Mus musculus (house mouse). RNAcentral's name for it is "long non-coding RNA chr11:6626170-6627496". Lineage: Eukaryota; Metazoa; Chordata; Mammalia; Rodentia; Muridae. The record is from RNAcentral.
GGUACUGGGAAGUGUAGUGAGAUCCUGGUCGUGGGAAACGUAGACGGGAAGGAGAGGGUGAAUUCUACACGGCAGGGCACGUCGGGCCAGAGUCUCCUACUUGUGCGGAGUUUGGGUAGCGACUCUGAUGUCAGCCCGUUCUGCCCCACUCCCUUGGGCCUUUCACAGGUCCUGUAGGAGAGGCGUGAGUUGGGACCGCCGUGUUGACUUUGGGGUUCGGGGCGGGAAGGCAUUGCCAGGUGUCGGGUAAUUACAGAGAAGCGAGUUGUAGCUCCAGCUGAAGGUCUUUUCGGAAAUGCAAGCAGUUUGUCUAGAUUAAACAAGUAAAGGACAUACCGUAUACAACGGCACACCGAUAAAUUGCUGUAAUCUCAGUAAUGGAGGCAGGAGGCCGAGGGCUAGCCUGUACUACUGUGGAGGCCCUGCAUCAAGAAGCAGAAUAGCCGGGCGUGGUGGCACACACCUUAAAACCCCAGCCAGGAGACAGGAAAAAGGAUCUUUGAGGUCGUGGCUAGCUUGGUCUACAUACCAAGUUUAGGACAGCCGGGACGACCUGGAGAAGGCCCUGCCUUAGCGCACGGCAGGACUGAGGAGAUAGUACAAAAUGCUGGGUAGGAUGGUUGGGAGGUGAGUUUUCCCAGUAAUCCCAGUGCUAGGAAACCACAGACGGCAUCUCUGGGACAAAGGUGUAUGUGUGCAUGAAGAGAUCACAGGAAAACUUGGGGAAAUUUGUUUCUUCCAAUCAUGUGGGAUCUGGGAAUUGAACUCACAGUCAAGUGGCCCCUAAACUAACUGUCUGUUUUCCUAGACAGCGUUUCUCCUUGUAGCCUUGGCUGUUUUGGAACUCGCUGUGUAGACCAGGCUGGUCUUGAACUCACAGAGAUCCCCCUCCUUCUGCCUCUGGAGUGCAGGACAAAAGACAUGCCCCACCCCCACCCCCAGGUCCCCACUAAGUUAUCCUGCUGGCCCUAAUUUUGUAGAAAGGAAAAUUUAACUUAAAAUUUUCCUUGAAAAAUCUUUAUGUUUGUAAGAGUGUAUUACUUCUCUCCUUUGUGGCUAAAAUCAAGCGUAAACGCUGGUUCUUGUUAAUAAAAGAUUGCUGAAUUAUCCAGGGAAGCUUCUCUUGCUUUAGCCUUACAGUAGCUAGCAUUAUAUUGCCACACUAGCUUUACCUUGGUGGUUCUUGUUUAAGAGUCUCAUGCUGAAUUCAAAAUUUAGCUCAAAAAGGUCAGAGAUAAUAUAGAUAUAAAACUCCUAAGGGGAAACACAUUUUUACUAUCUUGGAUUAAACAGUAGUUUCUUAGUAGGAAACCAAAAGCAAAAAUG